This 71-nucleotide transfer RNA is filed under the name Pseudomonadota bacterium. RNAcentral's name for it is "tRNA-Gln". It matches the Rfam family "tRNA". From Rfam's summary of the family: Transfer RNA (tRNA) molecules are approximately 80 nucleotides in length. The record is from RNAcentral. RNAcentral also lists the same sequence under 2 other names. Lineage: Bacteria; Pseudomonadati; Pseudomonadota.
UCGGGAAUCGUCUAAUGGCAGGACAACGGAUUCUGAUUCCGUUUAUCUAGGUUCGAAUCCUAGUUCCCGAA